Non-coding RNA from Triticum urartu, 169 nucleotides. NCBI's taxonomy places the organism in Eukaryota, Viridiplantae, Streptophyta, Magnoliopsida, Poales, Poaceae. The record is from Rfam.
GCAAGUAGGGAAAAGAAAGUCAUGAGUAUCUCAGAGCGGUGGGCAUGGGAGUAUGGAGGAAAGCAUGAAAUUUCUUAGUCUAUAAAUUUGGGAGCCAUGGUGUUCAUGUGUUUUCCCUAUGCCUCCCAUGCCUAUUGUUCUUAGAUCUUCCUUUCUUUUCCAAUUAGCU